GAUGUGCUGUUGUGCGCUUGUUUCGGCGUCUCAAGUGUUGGUGGUCUGGAGCUCAGGAGGCGAUCACAGUCCGGACAGAACAAAUGCCAGUGGAAUAAGGCAGAAAGGAGAUACAAGCUUCCAGGUCUUUGGAAUCACGGCUGUUCCGACCUCCCUCUUUGCAACUUCAUCUGUUGUGCGG
Long non-coding RNA from Callorhinchus milii (elephant shark), 181 nucleotides. RefSeq lists it as uncharacterized. NCBI's taxonomy places the organism in Eukaryota, Metazoa, Chordata, Chondrichthyes, Chimaeriformes, Callorhinchidae. The record is from RefSeq and is a predicted model, not a curated record. The transcript is spliced from 4 exons.